AUUGAACGCUGGCGGCGGGCCUAACACAUGCAAGUCGAACGAGUGGCGGACGGGUGAGUAAUGUCUGGGAAACUGCAUGAUGGAGGGGGAUAACUACUGGAAACGGUAGCUAAUACAGCAUACCAUCGGAUGUGCCCAGAUGGGAGUAGCUAGUAGGUGGGGUAAAGGCUCACCUUGGCGACGAUCCCUAGCUGGUCUGAGAGGAUGACCGACCACCCGGGAACUGAGACACGGUCCAGACUCCGACGGGAGGCAGCAGUGGGGAAUAUUGCACAAUGGGCGCAAGCCUGAUGCAGCCAUGCCGCGUGUAUGAAGAAGGCCUUCGGGUUGUAAAGUACUUUCAGCGGGGAGGCGGUACCCGCAGAAGAAGCACCGGCUAACUCCGUGCCAGCAGCCGCGGUAAUUC
This 406-nucleotide ribosomal RNA is filed under the name uncultured bacterium. Its description in RNAcentral is "partial 16S ribosomal RNA". It matches the Rfam family "Bacterial small subunit ribosomal RNA", at positions 30 to 526 of the family's 1533-position model. The record is from RNAcentral.